This is a long non-coding RNA of Gossypium arboreum, 523 nucleotides long. RefSeq lists it as uncharacterized. NCBI's taxonomy places the organism in Eukaryota, Viridiplantae, Streptophyta, Magnoliopsida, Malvales, Malvaceae. The record is from RefSeq and is a predicted model, not a curated record. The transcript has 2 exons.
AAGAAUUAAAUGGAUGAAAUAUGAAGUUUUAUUAAAAGAAAAAGGGGUGAAAAGAACAAAGUUUUGUCCAUCUUUGUUCAUCAUAGCUGAAAGUUAGAGAAGAGAAAGGAGAGGAGAAAGCUCUUGAGUAUUCGGUCAUUAGGAGGAGGAAAAUUGAAGGCGGUUCGUGUGUGGAUCUCGUCAGCAUAUCGUCGCAAGCAGGUGUGUAACUAACACCCUCUUUCUUAGUCUAGAUCGGCAAAAGCCGAAAAGCCGAAAUGUCGAAAACCGGUAUUUUGUAGAUUUGCGAGUGUGCGAAUGCUCGUGAGGUAAAUCGAUUAAUGUUUUUGGUAAGCUGCAAUGUUUGGACUGCAAAGUGCAUGAUUUCUGUGCCCUCGAUAUUUUUGGGCUUAAUGGGCCAAAAUUGGAAUGAUGGGCCAACGGGCCCAAUUCGGUAAGAACCCUCGGUACGUGAUUCUGUUAGUACGUGAAAAGUAGGAAUAUGCAUGAAAAACCCUAAAAUAGAUAAAUUACUGAAAUACCU